This 255-nucleotide ribosomal RNA is filed under the name uncultured bacterium. Its description in RNAcentral is "partial 16S ribosomal RNA". It matches the Rfam family "Bacterial small subunit ribosomal RNA", at positions 524 to 776 of the family's 1533-position model. The record is from RNAcentral.
UACGUAGGGUGCGAGCGUUGUCCGGAAUUACUGGGCGUAAAGAGCUCGUAGGCGGUUUGUCGCGUCUGCUGUGAAAACUGGGGGCUCAACCCCCAGCCUGCAGUGGGUACGGGCAGACUAGAGUGCGGUAGGGGGAGAUUGGAAUUCCUGGUGUAGCAGUGAAAUGCGCAGAUAUCAGGAGGAACACCGGUGGCGAAGGCGGGUCUCUGGGCCGAUACUGACGCUGAGGAGCGAAAGCGUGGGGGAGCAAACAGG